This 382-nucleotide long non-coding RNA is filed under the name Triticum aestivum (bread wheat). RNAcentral's name for it is "long non-coding RNA (TAES_LNC013223)". Lineage: Eukaryota; Viridiplantae; Streptophyta; Magnoliopsida; Poales; Poaceae. The record is from RNAcentral.
CUAAUAAGAUAAGUUCUUGUCACUUAUUUCUUAACAAAUUUCCAUUGUUCAAGUUCUGACUUCAUUUGUUGAGCUAUUUUAAUUUUUGUAUGAGAGAAAUGAAACACUUUAUGACUGGUAUGUCGAAACUUUGAUCAGUUCAUUGUGGAAUAAUGGCGGUGAUUUGGAUUCUUAACUAAAUUAUGAUAGGCUUCCAUUUUGGGGGCUCUGGUUUGGUUUUAUGUGUCUUUUUGUUACUAGGUAGAAAAUACUUAAUGCUGGUAUCCCAGAGUUUUACUUACUGGAUAUAAAUAGAAACGAGGCUUAUUUAUUGAGAAUUUUAUCUGUAGUGUGUGUCAGUGCCCUCGUACUUUUCAAGUGAAACCUUGAAGAAAAGCAUAAU